This 402-nucleotide ribosomal RNA is filed under the name Verrucomicrobiota bacterium. Its description in RNAcentral is "Verrucomicrobia bacterium partial 16S ribosomal RNA". It matches the Rfam family "Bacterial small subunit ribosomal RNA", at positions 355 to 776 of the family's 1533-position model. The record is from RNAcentral. Lineage: Bacteria; Pseudomonadati; Verrucomicrobiota.
UGGGGAAUUUUGCACAAUGGGGGAAACCCUGAUGCAGCGACGCCGCGUGAUUUAGAAGGCCUUCGGGUUGUAAAAAUCUUUUGUAUGGGAAGAAAAUGACAGUACCAUACGAAUAAGGACCGGCUAAUUACGUGCCAGCAGCCGCGGUAAUACGUAAGGUCCGAGCGUUGUCCGGAAUCAUUGGGCGUAAAGGGUACGUAGGCGGAUAAGCAAGUUAGAAGUGAAAUCCUAUAGCUCAACUAUAGUAAGCUUUUAAAACUGCUCAUCUUGAGGUAUGGAAGGGAAAGUGGAAUUCCUAGUGUAGCGGUGAAAUGCGCAGAUAUUAAAAAGAAUACCGGUGGCGAAGGCGACUUACUGGGCUCAUUCUGACGCUGAGGAACGAAAGCGUGGGUAGCAAACAGG